This 271-nucleotide long non-coding RNA is filed under the name Mustela putorius furo (domestic ferret). RNAcentral describes it as "lncRNA (ENSMPUG00000026103.1)". The record is from RNAcentral. Lineage: Eukaryota; Metazoa; Chordata; Mammalia; Carnivora; Mustelidae.
GUUCUUCCUCAGUAAUGGAUGCUUCAUGACAGCAGGAAAUUGACCAGAUGGCCAAAAACAAGGAAGUCGAUAUAGACGGUUUCUUUCAGAUAUACUGCCCCUCCUUUUUGUGAUACAGCAGGCAGACAGCCAUCUAUAAGCCAGGAAGAGGACUCCUACUAGGACCUGAGCUGGGCUGUACCUUCAUCUUGGACUUGCCAGUCUUCAGAACUGUAAGAAAAAAAAAUUCCAUUCUUUAAGCCACCUAGACUAUGGCGUUUUGUUAUAGCUG